UCGCGUACCCUUUUCUUUGCAGUUUCUUCGUUCCUAUCUUGUUUUCCUUCUGAUCCUUGUGGUCGUGCGUUGAUUGGUGGUCGGGCAAUUUCUUCGCGGUUCUGGUUUCCUCUGUGGAGGAUGGUUGAGGUUGGCUCGUCGAUCAUGUCUUUACUUCUUUCAUCGGUGAGUCAGAUCGUUUAUUUCUUUUGGGUCAGUGAUUAUUCCUUGUUUCACCGUGGUUGGCCGGCUAGAUCGACGAGAAUUGGUUAGUUUAUCUUGCUUCUCUACUCUCCUGGUUGUUUCUUGGUGGUUCGAUUUUAUACUUCCAGAGCCAAGUAAACAAUAUGGUUGAAGUGGGUCUCCGUGUGUUCCUUCUCGAGUUCAUCUUGAUUUAUUAGAAUUCUAGUUGAGAUGGAUCUGCGGAUCUGUGAGUAUUCACAAAAAGCAUGGGCCAUGCUCUGAAUUUUCGAAUUGUAACUGCAUCUUUUCUCGCAAGGGCACGGCAUGGGACGUCGUUCAGGCGUUGUCUACGUGCUUGAUCAGGAUUGUCUGACUGUUUCAUGCAGCGGAUCCAGGAGGGUGAUGUUCCAUGAGGUUUUGGAUGCAUGGAUUUCACGAUGUCUAAUUUUAAGAGUAUUUAGAAGUAGAGAUGUUAAUAUGGGUGCUUUCUUAUGUAGUGCUAUUGCGAACUGUGGAUCUGCAUGGAGGUUAAGGUAAAUUAGGAUCUCUGUUGUUUCCUCUACUCUGUUACCUCGACCUUUGCCAUGUCGGGUGCGCUCGCUUGGCAGGUCAAAAAAAAUAAUAAUAAAGGAAUUUUUUUUGGUGUGUGUGGGGGAUCGCAUGGGGUGCUUUUAGGCCCCGGGUUCCCCCUUCUGUGCCUUGUUCUCUGCUUUCCAUCAUAGUGUGCCAGAUAUUUAUGAGAGCUCCGUCUGCCACGAAAGUCUAACGCCAUUUUCACCAAGAUUCAAAGCAAUUCGAUCUACAAAUUUACAAAGGUAUAUAUAUUCAUGUCUUUCAUGUUCAAAAGAAAUAGCAUCAAGGCUCAGCAAUGAAACGGCGACCAGUUUCACAAGGUAUAAGAUAAUCUCAUCCACUGAUUCACUUUGUUCCAAAAUAUUUGUUAUGUUCUAAAGAGAGCAAGUUCAAAUAUUAAUUACGUUUUUGUGAUUUAUUGCGUCCAAUGUUCUUCGAUCGUUCAUUUAUAACUAGUUUUCAAAUAAAUAUUUUUUCUUUUAUUGUUUCGCUUCAUUAAUCAACCACGUCUAUCAGCAAUUGCUGAUUGUUAGCCUGAUCUUGUCUUCACAACGAUGUCCGAUUUUUUUAUUCAUAGAAAUAAUUUGAUUAUCAAGUGAUUUUUUAAUUUUGUAAUUGUAAAUUGUAUCUUUGCUACCGAGUUGUAUCCCCUAGGUACGCAUGCUUUCUUGAACAUGUAUUUAUAGAUCAUACAUUGUUCGGAAGUCAAGGAUUUGAAGACAAAGGUGGACUACUUUCCUUUCAGUAUGGAUUAUGAUGAAUUCCACUGGGACGCGUUGAUGCUAUUUGGCCGUCGUUGAUUGUUUACAUUCAAGUUCAAUUUUCAGCUGAAAACGCAACUAAUAUGCUUCACCGUGAACCAGAAUUGAUAUUCAACACAUUCUGCAACAAAUGCAAUCUUUACCUUGUGGCCCAAAGCUAACAUAUUGAUUCAUAAAGAAUGUUUUUCUUGCUUGGUACUUGUUCUACAACGUGCAGCUGUAAUUUUUGGAGGGGCUAUUGCUAGUAAUAAAGGCACACGGCGCCUUUGCUAGGAAGAAGGGAGUAGGCAGUAUUGGCUCACAUUUGAUUACCUUAUCUAUGUUUAUUACGUAUUUGUAUCUUGUUUGUAGUUUUUAUACGAAGUGUUUUUUUUUUAGUAUUCAUCUGGACAUGUAAUUAGGGAGUAAAUUCAUUUGGAUAUAUACUCUUACUGGUUGAAACGUUUCUUGUUAAA
Molecule: long non-coding RNA, 1951 nt
Organism: Zingiber officinale
Lineage: Eukaryota; Viridiplantae; Streptophyta; Magnoliopsida; Zingiberales; Zingiberaceae
Exons: 3
Source: RefSeq, a predicted model, not a curated record